Molecule: ribosomal RNA, 147 nt
Filed under: Bacillus sp. BAKZL1102
Lineage: Bacteria; Bacillati; Bacillota; Bacilli; Caryophanales; Bacillaceae
Description: partial 16S ribosomal RNA
Source: RNAcentral
GAUGAGUCGUAACAGGUAGCCUACUCUAUAGUUUGAUCCUGGCUCAGAUACGUCGGGAACAAGGGUAGCCAAAGGGGGCGAAUGUCUGGCGGAUAAUCCUUUUCACACACUGGGCCGGUCGCGCCUUCGGAGGCGAUGCCAUUCUUA